Molecule: ribosomal RNA, 518 nt
Filed under: uncultured microorganism
Description: bacterial SSU rRNA
Rfam family: Bacterial small subunit ribosomal RNA
Source: RNAcentral
GAGUUUGAUCGUGGCUCAGGAUGAACGCUGGCGGCGUGCCUAAUACAUGCAAGUCGAGCGAACGGACGAGAAGCUUGCUUCUCUGAUGUUAGCGGCGGACGGGUGAGUAACACGUGGAUAACCUACCUAUAAGACUGGGAUAACUUCGGGAAACCGGAGCUAAUACCGGAUAAUAUUUUGAACCGCAUGGUUCAAAAGUGAAAGACGGUCUUGCUGUCACUUAUAGAUGGAUCCGCGCUGCAUUAGCUAGUUGGUAAGGUAACGGCUUACCAAGGCAACGAUGCAUAGCCGACCUGAGAGGGUGAUCGGCCACACUGGAACUGAGACACGGUCCAGACUCCUACGGGAGGCAGCAGUAGGGAAUCUUCCGCAAUGGGCGAAAAGCCUGACGGAGCAACGCCGCGUGAGUGAUGAAGGUCUUCGGAUCGUAAAACUCUGUUAUUAGGGAAGAACAUAUGUGUAAGUAACUGUGCACAUCUUGACGGUACCUAAUCAGAAAGCCACGGCUAACUACGUCG